RNAcentral lists this ribosomal RNA (253 nucleotides) under uncultured bacterium. Its description in RNAcentral is "partial 16S ribosomal RNA". It matches the Rfam family "Bacterial small subunit ribosomal RNA", at positions 524 to 776 of the family's 1533-position model. The record is from RNAcentral. RNAcentral also lists the same sequence under 1 other name.
UACGAAGGGUGCAAGCGUUAAUCGGAAUUACUGGGCGUAAAGCGCGCGUAGGUGGUUCAGCAAGUUGGAGGUGAAAUCCCCGGGCUCAACCUGGGAACUGCCUCCAAAACUACUGAGCUAGAGUACGGUAGAGGGUAGUGGAAUUUCCUGUGUAGCGGUGAAAUGCGUAGAUAUAGGAAGGAACACCAGUGGCGAAGGCGACUACCUGGACUGAUACUGACACUGAGGUGCGAAAGCGUGGGGAGCAAACAGG